AGAGGAAGUGCCAGAUCCUGGGCUGUGUCCCCGGCGCCCUGGGCUCCCGGACCUGCGCUGUUGGAUUCGCGCUCCCGGCCGGCCAGCCCCCU
Molecule: microRNA precursor, 92 nt
Filed under: Canis lupus familiaris (dog)
Lineage: Eukaryota; Metazoa; Chordata; Mammalia; Carnivora; Canidae
Also listed under: 1 other name
Description: mir-8799 microRNA precursor family
Rfam family: mir-8799 microRNA precursor family
Source: Rfam by way of RNAcentral